GGUCACCCGGUUAGCAUUUUUAACUAUCAGAUUUCAGAUUUGAUAUCCAGCCCCUGACCCAAGUGAAUUCGCUUCUGGUCAUCUGGGCACAAGGUGAUUGAGCUGCCUUGAAGAAAGACAAUGCACAGGCUUUCUGAACGUGGCGAUCUUGAUUUUAAGAGGUAUGUACUAGAGAAACUCAAAGAGGGUCUACAUUGAAGGAUUUAUAAAAACUGGUUGCAGGUGGAGUUUAGAGAGAAGUACAAGAAUGAACAUCCCAACAACAAAUCGGAGAGAGCGCCCUACCAGGCCAAGGCAGAGAAGAGAAAGGUUGAAUAGAACAACAUGGAAGUUUAUAACAAGAAACAAGUAAUUGUGUGAUAGAGUAAAAGAUUGGUCCUUUAAUGUAUCUGAUAGCUGCAAAGUGACAACUUUGAACCAUCAGAUCAAACCAGAACAAAUACAUCGGUUCAAUCUGACACAGAAGACCUUACCUAGCCACUUCUGCUCUGCAAUCUUAUGCUUUUUGUUAUGCUGUGCAACUCUUUGUGAUAAAGACCAAUCUCUUAUGGUUUUUUGGUAAUGCUAACGGUGCUUAAAAAACAAUGUCAUGCUAUGUACAUAUAAGCACUGGUUGUCAGGACCAUUCUCUAUGUUUUCUGUAAUGCCUGAAAACCAAUCAACCAAAAUAGCAGAUAGUUUGU
This 683-nucleotide long non-coding RNA is filed under the name Rosa chinensis. RNAcentral's name for it is "sRNA RchiOBHm_Chr2g0110631". Lineage: Eukaryota; Viridiplantae; Streptophyta; Magnoliopsida; Rosales; Rosaceae. The record is from RNAcentral.